RNAcentral lists this non-coding RNA (879 nucleotides) under Vietnamophryne inexpectata. Its description in RNAcentral is "partial 12S ribosomal RNA". It matches the Rfam family "Bacterial small subunit ribosomal RNA". The record is from RNAcentral. Lineage: Eukaryota; Metazoa; Chordata; Amphibia; Anura; Microhylidae.
UGCAAGUCUCCGCACACCCGUGAGAAAGCCCUUACACCUCCCCCAAGACAAGGAGCUGGUAUCAGGCACAGAACUCUUGCCCACAACACCUAGCUAUGCCACCCCCUCAAGGGUACUCAGCAGUGAUAGACAUUGUUUAUAAGCGCCAGCUUGACUCAGUCAAAGUAAUAACAGAGCCGGCUAAUCCGGUGCCAGCCGCCGCGGCUAUACCGUUAGGCUCAAGUUGACACACAUCGGUGUUAAGCGUGAUUAAAGUACUUCUAGAUUAAAGUUAAACUUAAACCAAGUUGUGAUACGCUUGUUCUUCAGAAACCCAAAACGAAAGUUACUUUAACAAACCACUUGAAUCCACGACAGCUAGGAUACAAACUGGGAUUAGGUACCCCACUAUGCCUAGCCAUAAAAUAUUAACUUACAUCCAAACCACCCGGGAAUUACGAGCCCAAGCUUAAAACCCAAAGGACUUGACGGUGUCCCACCCACCUAGAGGAGCCUGUUCUAUAAUCGAUUCCCCCCGAUUUACCUCACCACUUUUAGCCAACAGCCUGUAUACCUCCGUCGCAAGCUUACCAUAUGAACGAACUUAGUGAGCUAAAAGAUCACCACCUACACGUCAGGUCAAGGUGCAGCCAACAGAGCGGAAAGCAAUGGGCUACAAUUUCUAAAAUAGAAUAAACGAAAGACUACAUGCAACACAGUCAUGAAGGCGGAUUUAGUAGUAAAAAGAAAUCAGAGAGUUCUUUUUAACUAGGCACUGGGACGCGUACACACCGCCCGUCACCCUCUUCAAAUGCAAUCUCAAUGUCAAUAACAUCAAAUCGCACUACAGAAGAAGCAAGUCGUAACACGGUAAGCGUACUGGAAAGUGCGCUUGGCUUA